AUUGUUCAGAUAGACCCUUCGUUUGAGGGGUUGGAUGGUGGAGUAGGCAGCUUGGUGAAAUGGAAUCCUGUUGCUAAUGUGGAUGGCAGUGAUAUUUGGAAUUUCUUGCGAGCCAUGAAUGUUCCAGUGAAUUCAUUGCAUUCACAAGGUUAUGUUUCCAUUGGAUGUGAACCUUGCACACGAGCUGUCCUACCUGGCCAACACGAGCGAGAAGGAAGGUGGUGGUGGGAGG
Molecule: unclassified non-coding RNA, 232 nt
Filed under: Hevea brasiliensis (rubber tree)
Lineage: Eukaryota; Viridiplantae; Streptophyta; Magnoliopsida; Malpighiales; Euphorbiaceae
Source: RNAcentral